This 2133-nucleotide long non-coding RNA is filed under the name Canis lupus familiaris (dog). Its description in RNAcentral is "lncRNA (ENSCAFG00845017569.1)". The record is from RNAcentral. Lineage: Eukaryota; Metazoa; Chordata; Mammalia; Carnivora; Canidae.
AUGGCCACCUGGCAGGAAUCCGUGACAUCAUCCAUCUUGGAGUCUAAAGUUCAACCACAAUCUUCUGUAAUCUCAAAACUGACUGGUGCUGGAGACCUAGGGGUAAAACCCCUACCCCUUGGGCACCCCAAAAGGGGAAAUCUGUGGAGGGAAGGGAACAGGAAGUUUUCAUGGCUGGGAGAGAUUCUGAGAAGACUUUCCCAGGCAGCCCUGAUGGGUACACAAGGAAUUACAGGGCCAAAGAGGAGUUGUGGUCGGCUCCUGUGUGCCUCUGUGUGCUUUCCAAAUGGUGACAGUGAACCCGUGUUGCAUAAGGAAACUUUCAAACUUACAGAAGAGUGGAGAGACUCGCACAAAGAUGCCAUUACCCGUUACCAGCCUCAUCAGUCAGCAAUGUGGAGUCCCCUCCUGAAUGAGGGGGUUUGAGGGCCUCUGGAAACUCCAAGACUGGUAUCACAUUUUUUCAGUCUGAGCAAGUCCUGGGCUAAUCCAGAUUCAAGGGGGAAAUAGAAACCAGCUCUCCAGGGGAGGAGCGGCAAAGUCGCAUUGCAAAGGGUAUGAUGUGGAGGACAUGAACUAUUGUGAUCAUUAAAAAAAAUCUAUUUACAUGCUGUUUUUAUUUUACAGUAGUUAGAUUUACAAAAAAAAAGUUGCAAAGAUGAUACAGGGAGUUCCUAUAUACCCCUGUACCCAGUUUCCCCUAUUGGUAAUAGCUUAUAUUACUAUGGCACAUUUGUCAUAACUAAAGAACCAAUAGUGAUGCAUUGCUAUCAGCUAAACUCCAUACUUUAUUCAGAUUUCAUUAGUUCUUCCUCAAUGUCUUGUUUCUGUUCCAGGAUCCCAUCCAGAAUACCAUAAUAUACUUAAUCAUCUUAGCUCCCUUAGUUCAGCUUCUCUUGGUUGUGACAGUUUCUCAGACAUCCCUUGUAUUCGAUUCUUUGACAGUUUUGAGAUAUGUUGGUCAGGGUUUUUUUUGUAGAUGGUCCCUCAAUUAGGGUUUGUUGGGUGUUUUUCCCAUGUUUGAAUGGCAUUCUGGGUUUUGAGGAAGAAGACCAUAGAAGUGAAGUGUCCUUUUCAAUACAGGGCAUCAAGAGAACGUGCUGUCGACAUCAUUUACCAUUAAGGAUGUUAACCUUAAUCACCUAGUUAAGAUAGUAGUUGCCAGAUUUUGCCGCUGAAAUGUUAGUUACUCUUUUUCUUCCCUUUCCAUCUUGUUCUCUGUAAAAGGAAGUCACUGUGCACAGCCCACGCUUAAGAUGAAGAGUUACUCUCUGCCUCCUUAAGGGAACAGUACAUAAGUUAUUUGGCAUUCUGUUAUUUGUUUAUUCAGUCACUUAUUAGAUCAAUGUGGACUCAUUGGUAUUUGAUUAUACUUUGUACCAUCAUCUAAUACUAUGUUAUCUGUUUUUUUGCUCACAUUGUUCCAGUUUGGGCUAUUACGAUGAGUGUUGUGGCCUUGUGACAUACCCUCAUCAUUUUUUGCUUGUUUUUAUUUUUGUUUUUGAGCACUUUCUUACUUCCUGGCACUGUAAAAGCAUCCAAGUUCAUCUAUUUUAUUUUCUGCGCCAGCUCUAGAAUCAGCCAUUUCUCCAAGGAGCCUGUUUCCUUUUGUUGGAGAAUGGUAUUAAAAAUCAAGAUCUGGGUGCUGAGUAUGCCUGUUACAACUGGGGCCCAUUCUCAGUGGGUGCCGUGUGCACACACACACACACACACACACACACACUAACCUAUAUAUACAAAUCACUGUGACUAUUUCUAUAUCUAUCCAUUAGUAUCUAUACUAAGCUAAACAUGAAUUCAUGCUAAUGGCUCCAACUCACAUCCAUUCAUAGUGUUCAUUCUAUCUUUCUCCCCUUGCUUAUCUAUAAUCCCCCACUUCAACAGUGAGACGCCUGCUCCCACCAUCUGGUGCCCUAAUUUAUGUAAUUGUUCAAUUCUAGCACACAUGCACAAGAGUUUCAGAAUUAUCAACCCAUACUCCUGUGAGGAGUAACUUUGCAACUAGAGUACAGUGCUUAUGGACAGUUCUUUGGUCUUUAGUCUUGUUUCCAGUUAUUCCUAAGUUAUUUAGAUCUGCACAUCAUGCAGUGAGACUAUGUCAUACCUUUGUAAUAUAGUUAAAUUCUUUUAUAA